GAGUUGCUUUUGCGUCCCAUCUUUUUGGCCUCCCUAGCCCCGCCCACUGUGUCAGCACCUCAACAUUGGAUGGCGUUGGGCGCGGCGAGCCAGCUGGAAUGCCGCGCAGACGGCUUCUACCCUCCGCCCGUGGCCUUCGCCUGGACCAGAGACGGCCAGGUCAUUCAAUCCGCCGCCCGGCUGGAUGGGGAGAGGACCGCCGACGGCUUCUACAGAGCGGCCGCCAACCUCACGUACUACCCGAGUCGAUGGGACCAGAACGCAACGUUUGGCUGCCGAGUGAGCCACAACGGCGUCGACCAGGAGCUCAAGUUUCAACUCAACAUCACCUACACCCCCGCCGUCAGACUCUCGGCCGUCGCGUCGCCGACGCCCGACGGUCCUCUCACCCUCUCCUGCCACCUGGAAAGCUUCUUCCCGGAGGAGAUGUCCGUCUCCUGGCUGCAAAACGGCACGGCCCUGCCCGACCCGCCCGGCUCCGAGCGCAAUCCGGACGGGACCUUCCGAAGCACGCGCUUCUUCACGCUGAGCCGCGAGCAGCGCCGGCGAGGCGGGGAAGUGGAGUGUGCGGUUCGGCAGCCCGGGGCGGCGCCGCCCGCCCGGGCCGCCGCGCACCUGCGAGAACUGGAUCCCCGAGGUGACGCUCGCC
Non-coding RNA from Hippocampus comes (tiger tail seahorse), 649 nucleotides. Lineage: Eukaryota; Metazoa; Chordata; Actinopteri; Syngnathiformes; Syngnathidae. The record is from the annotation of a RefSeq genome assembly.